RNAcentral lists this unclassified non-coding RNA (269 nucleotides) under plant metagenome. RNAcentral describes it as "partial contains small subunit ribosomal RNA, internal transcribed spacer 1, and 5.8S ribosomal RNA". The record is from RNAcentral.
UUUCCGUAGGUGAACCUGCGGAAGGAUCAUUAAUGAGUUGUCAUGGGGUUCGAUGCUGGCAGCCAAUUUUUGGAUGCAUGUGCUUGCCCUAACAAUCAUCUUCCAAACACCCGUGCACAUUUUUGAGGGAGUCUUGAGUUGGUUGCCGCUCUUGGGUGAUUUUCUCACAUUCCCUUAAAUCAUUAUACGCUGUUAACAAUGUUGAACGUGCUCUGUGCCGCAAGGCUAUUAAUAUAAUACAACUUUUAACAACGGAUCUCUUGGCUCUC